AGAGUUUGAUCCUGGCUCAGGACGAACGCUGGCGGCGUGCCUGACCCAUGCAAGUCGAACGAGUAUGUAGCAAUACAUACGAGUGGCGGACGGGUGAGUAACACGUGAACAACCUGCCUUAGACAGGGGGAUAACGUCUGGAAACGGACGCUAAUACCGCAUAAGACCACGCUAUUGCAUGAUAGAGAGGUCAAAGGAGC
RNAcentral lists this ribosomal RNA (200 nucleotides) under uncultured bacterium. RNAcentral describes it as "partial 16S ribosomal RNA". It matches the Rfam family "Bacterial small subunit ribosomal RNA", at positions 8 to 210 of the family's 1533-position model. The record is from RNAcentral.